UUUUUAUUAAACAAUUACUUUAGAUAGCGGUGAUUGUAGAGCUGUUUUUAUACAAUCUAUGUUGUAGAGUGACAGCUAGUUUGUGAUGGGCGUGAGAAAUUAAGCUCCCGCUUUCAUACGUAAUCAGUAUGGGACAAAGGAAAACGCGCGCUUUCAAACGUCAUCAACGGGAGACAAAGGAAUUGUGCGGCAGUGUGUUAACUUAACAUGGAGAACUCCGUCAAAAGUCGAAAAGGCCUGCGGACGCGGGCCAAAAGGAACGACAGCGUGGAAAUGGAUGCAUUGGAGAAGACGUGCGUCAGUGACACUAGUGGUGUCUCUGUGGCCCCCACUGCACAUCUGGCAGACAAAAGAAAAUCCCAUGAGUUGGAGAUGUGUAAGCUGAGAGUAGAGUGGCAAAAAGAGAUGAACUGACCAAGGAGAGGGACUAUUUAAAAGAGCAACUGGUGUCAGCUCUUAAAAGAGAGGACACAGGUUCCAGCCAGGCGAUUCCCUUGUCUUCAGAUUCCUCUCGUGACAGCUCAGAUGAAUCUUCCUCUGAUACUGUGUCUGACUCCUCUACAUCCUCAGAGGAGGACAGGAAGAAAAAGAGGACGAAAAAAAGGGGAAAGGAAAAAAGUAUGGGAAGAAGUCAAAGAAAAUGGAAAAGAAGACACGUCAGAGAGGUUAGAAUGCUUUUUACACUCGAACCACUCACUGGGUUAUGGUUUGCCACUGCUUACACUGCGUUCAGAGGUUUGGGAUCAGUUUGAUUUUUAAUGUUUUUUUUAAAGAAGUUUCUGCUCUUCAAGGCUGCAUUCAUUCAAUUGAAAAUAAAGACAAAAACAGUAAUAUUGUGAAAUAUUAUUACAAUUUAAAAUAAUGGUGUUCUAUUUUAAUAUUCUUUACAAUAUAAUUUAUUCCUCUCAUCAAAGCAAAAUUUUCAUCAGUCAUUACUCUAGUCUUCAGUGUCACAUGACCCUUCAUCAGUCUUAAUACAUUGAUUUAUUAUCAGUUUUUGCUGCUUUUUCUUUUGUAACCUGUGUUUGUUUUUUUUGUUUUUUUUUUCCUGAAUUCUUUGAAUAAAAAGUUUAAAAGAACAUAAUUUAUUCAAAAUAGAAAUCCUUUGUAAUAAUAUUCAUGAACAUUUUGAUUCUUUGCACAGCUCUAUGACCAUUCAAAAGUUUAGAAUCAAUAAAUUCCGGUAAGCUGCUGCCCCUAAAACGAAAGUGAACUGACCAAAAUCAAAUUAAAGUUGUACAGUGAACUGAAAUCCAUCCAUAAUCUGCACUGCUGUUCUGUAAUGUUUGAAAGUUAGUACUGAGGUAGUUUUGAAAUAUUUUAUAAUAUUAUUGUUUUAUAAAAAUGUUUUUGUUGUAUUUUAUAAUCCAGUGUUGGCACUGGUAAAUUUACAUUCAGCAAUGUUUGCACUUUACAGAAAUGUAUUUUUAUAUCUGAUUGCAGAGUCCUAGUUGCAUUUUACUGCACAGGUGUGCAGGAAUUUUAUUUUCUAUGACAUUGCAUAGGUUUAUUUUUCAUUUUAUAUAUCAGUUCAUUUUAUGUUAAUUUAUGUGUUCAGUUGUACAAUUUUAUUUUUGCAGAGGUUUAUUUUAUUUAUUUAUUUUGUAUUCAAUAUGUACAGUUGUACAGUUUCAUUUCUUUUGCAUCUUGAAAUAAAUAUUUCUAUGUCCUGUAUCCCUCUGUGUUGUGUUUUCCUUUUCUGUUUAGAAGAUAACUGAGUCUUUAACUCUCAUUUGUAAAUGCUUUACAAGGCAUAAAUAGUCCUCACUUUAGAUGAGCUC
Onychostoma macrolepis is the source of this 1781-nucleotide long non-coding RNA. RefSeq lists it as uncharacterized. The transcript is spliced from 3 exons. The record is from RefSeq and is a predicted model, not a curated record. NCBI's taxonomy places the organism in Eukaryota, Metazoa, Chordata, Actinopteri, Cypriniformes, Cyprinidae.